RNAcentral lists this ribosomal RNA (497 nucleotides) under uncultured bacterium. RNAcentral describes it as "partial 16S ribosomal RNA". It matches the Rfam family "Bacterial small subunit ribosomal RNA", at positions 28 to 507 of the family's 1533-position model. The record is from RNAcentral.
GAUGAACGCUGGCGGCGUGCCUAAUACAUGCAAGUCGAGCGAACAGACGAGGAGCUUGCUCCUCUGACGUUAGCGGCGGACGGGUGAGUAACACGUGGAUAACCUACCUAUAAGACUGGGAUAACUUCGGGAAACCGGAGCUAAUCCCGGAUAAUAUAUUGAACCGCAUGGUUCAUUAGUGAAAGACGGUUUUGCUGUCACUUAUAGAUGGAUCCGCGCCGCAUUAGCUAGUUGUUAAGGUAACGGCUUACCAAGGCAAGCAUGCGUAGCCGACCUGAGAGAGUGAUAGGCCACACUGGAACUGAGACACGGUCCAGACUCCUACGGGAGGCAGCAGUAGGGAAUCUUCCGCAAUGGGCGAAAGCCUAACGGAGCAACGCCGCGUGAGUGAUGAAGGUCUUCGGAUCGUAAAACUCUGUUAUUAGGGAAGAACAAAUGUGUAAGUAACUAUGCACGUCUUGACGGUACCUAAUCAGAAAGCCACGGCUAACUACGUG